This is a long non-coding RNA of Bolinopsis microptera, 264 nucleotides long. RefSeq lists it as uncharacterized. The record is from RefSeq and is a predicted model, not a curated record. NCBI's taxonomy places the organism in Eukaryota, Metazoa, Ctenophora, Tentaculata, Lobata, Bolinopsidae. The transcript has 2 exons.
GGAUGACCAUGCAAGAUGGUUCAGUUCUAGUUGACAUUCCACUAUAUGAAAAGACCAGAUCGCCACUUUAUAUUCUUAUUCCUUGAGAGAGAGAGAGAACCGGAACAGCGACCUCGUGAAUCAUCCUAUUUAAUCGCUUCACCCUCGCCACAUUCGCUACUACUUCAAUUAUUGGGGUAAAUGGACAUUAAGACUAAGUUAUGAGAUAUGAGAGUUAAAUUAAUAUUGUAGUCCUAUUUAACCCAAUUAUUUUACAACCCUUUA